RNAcentral lists this transfer RNA (69 nucleotides) under Enyalioides laticeps. RNAcentral's name for it is "tRNA-Tyr". It matches the Rfam family "tRNA". Rfam says of the family: Transfer RNA (tRNA) molecules are approximately 80 nucleotides in length. Their secondary structure includes four short double-helical elements and three loops (D, anti-codon, and T loops). The record is from RNAcentral. Lineage: Eukaryota; Metazoa; Chordata; Lepidosauria; Squamata; Hoplocercidae.
GGUAAGGUGGCCGAGCGUCUAGGCGGUGGGUUGUAAAUCUACUUAGGGGGUUUAACUCCUCUCUUGCCA